AAUUUAAAGCAUCUUACUAAUAUUACAAAAUUAGUAAUAUGCCUUGUAUAUAAAUAAAAGUAGCAGCAGUUGAUGGAAUGGAUUCCUUCAUGCUUCCCCAUAGGAAAACGUUGUAAAAAUCCUAUUGAUAGUUAAUAUACAUGGAAAGUGAACACAUGAUGCCCCAUCCAACUAAACUAACUUGAAUUGUGCUAACUCAGGGUUGGGCAUGCCCCU
Molecule: long non-coding RNA, 216 nt
Filed under: Elaeis guineensis (African oil palm)
Lineage: Eukaryota; Viridiplantae; Streptophyta; Magnoliopsida; Arecales; Arecaceae
Description: long non-coding RNA (EGUI_LNC064860)
Source: RNAcentral